UACGAAGGGGGGCUAGCGUUGCUCGGAAUGACUGGGCGUAAAGGGCGCGUAGGCGGACAUCUUUGUCGGGCGUGAAAUUCCAGGGCUUAACCUUGGGGCUGCGUUCGAGACGGGGUGUCUUGAGUGGGGAAGAGGGUCGUGGAAUUCCCAGUGUAGAGGUGAAAUUCGUAGAUAUUGGGAAGAACACCGGUGGCGAAGGCGGCGACCUGGUCCUUUACUGACGCUGAGGCGUGAAAGCGUGGGGGAGCAAAACAGGGAUUAGAAAACCCCCAGUAGU
RNAcentral lists this ribosomal RNA (277 nucleotides) under uncultured bacterium. RNAcentral's name for it is "partial 16S ribosomal RNA". It matches the Rfam family "Bacterial small subunit ribosomal RNA", at positions 524 to 794 of the family's 1533-position model. The record is from RNAcentral.